This 725-nucleotide ribosomal RNA is filed under the name uncultured bacterium. Its description in RNAcentral is "bacterial SSU rRNA". It matches the Rfam family "Bacterial small subunit ribosomal RNA", at positions 771 to 1501 of the family's 1533-position model. The record is from RNAcentral.
AACAGGAUUAGAUACCCUGGUAGUCCACGCCCUAAACGAUGUCUACUAGUUGUCGGGUCUUAAUUAACUUGGUAACGCAGCUAACGCGUGAAGUAGACCGCCUGGGGAGUACGGUCGCAAGAUUAAAACUCAAAGGAAUUGACGGGGACCCGCACAAGCGGUGGAUGAUGUGGAUUAAUUCGAUGCAACGCGAAAAACCUUACCUACCCUUGACAUGGAAGGAAUCCUGGAGAGAUCUGGGAGUGCCCGAAAGGGAACCUCCACACAGGUGCUGCAUGGCUGUCGUCAGCUCGUGUCGUGAGAUGUUGGGUUAAGUCCCGCAACGAGCGCAACCCUUGUCAUUAGUUGCUACGCAAGAGCACUCUAAUGAGACUGCCGGUGACAAACCGGAGGAAGGUGGGGAUGACGUCAAGUCCUCAUGGCCCUUAUGGGUAGGGCUUCACACGUCAUACAAUGGUACAUACAGAGGGCCGCCAACCCGCGAGGGGGAGCUAAUCCCAGAAAGUGUAUCGUAGUCCGGAUUGUAGUCUGCAACUCGACUACAUGAAGUUGGAAUCGCUAGUAAUCGCGGAUCAGCAUGUCGCGGUGAAUACGUUCCCGGGUCUUGUACACACCGCCCGUCACACCAUGGGAGCGGGUUUUACCAGAAGUAGGUAGCUUAACCGCAAGGAGGGCGCUUACCACGGUAGGAUUCGUGACCGGGGUGAAGUCGUAACAAGGUAACC